GUGUCAGCAGCCGCGGUAAUACGAAGGGGGCUAGCGUUGCUCGGAAUCACUGGGCGUAAAGGGCGCGUAGGCGGACUCUUAAGUCGGGGGUGAAAGCCCAGGGCUCAACCCUGGAAUUGCCUUCGAUACUGGGAGUCUUGAGUUCGGAAGAGGUUGGUGGAACUGCGAGUGUAGAGGUGAAAUUCGUAGAUAUUCGCAAGAACACCGGUGGCGAAGGCGGCCAAC
RNAcentral lists this ribosomal RNA (225 nucleotides) under uncultured bacterium. RNAcentral's name for it is "partial 16S rRNA". It matches the Rfam family "Bacterial small subunit ribosomal RNA", at positions 505 to 729 of the family's 1533-position model. The record is from RNAcentral.